CUCCAAUCAGAUGAAACUGAUCUUCCCGUGAAGAAGCGGGAAUAUACCUAUAAGACGAGAAGACCCCAUGGAGCUUUAAAUCCAACAGCACCUAUUACCCAUACAUCUUUAUAUUUUUUUAGCAAAUGCUCGUUCGGUUUUAGGUUGGGGUGACCAUGGAGUAAAAAAUAACCUCCACGAAAAAAGGCAUAAAACCCUUAUCAAAGAGCCACAUCUCUAUGAAUUAGUAAACUAAUUUCUGAUGAUCCGAUAUUCGAUCAACGAACCAAGUUACCCUGGGGAUAACAGCGCAAUCCGCCUUAAGAGCCCCUAUCGACAGGCGGGUUUACGACCUCGAUGUUGGAUCAGGGUAUCCCAGUGGUGCAACAGCUACUAAAGGUUCGUUUGUUCAACGAUUAAAACCCU
Molecule: ribosomal RNA, 405 nt
Filed under: Boophis picturatus
Lineage: Eukaryota; Metazoa; Chordata; Amphibia; Anura; Mantellidae
Description: partial 16S ribosomal RNA
Rfam family: Bacterial large subunit ribosomal RNA
Source: RNAcentral